GGAUGUAUGUUUUUGGCAGGCCAGGAGUGUUGUGAUUGAUGACAACCUGCACAGUUGGAAUAUCCAAGCCCCUGUUGCAAAGUCAAAGGGUUGUUCCAGUGAGUGAGUGGCUUACCUGCUUCAUCAUUGAGUGGAGGGAGAUUGUGGGGAAGUCAAAUUGCCGAAGCAUCAUGGUGAGGAUUUGACAGCUCCUGCGGCAAAUAAAAAACACAUCUUUUUGUACCAACC
This is a long non-coding RNA of Hippocampus comes (tiger tail seahorse), 228 nucleotides long. RefSeq lists it as uncharacterized. Lineage: Eukaryota; Metazoa; Chordata; Actinopteri; Syngnathiformes; Syngnathidae. The transcript has 2 exons. The record is from RefSeq and is a predicted model, not a curated record.